This 131-nucleotide microRNA precursor is filed under the name Chlorocebus sabaeus (green monkey). RNAcentral describes it as "miRNA (ENSCSAG00000023015.1)". Lineage: Eukaryota; Metazoa; Chordata; Mammalia; Primates; Cercopithecidae. The record is from RNAcentral.
AAAUUUCCUUUCUCACAGUUCUAGAGGCUGGAAGUCCAAGAUCAAGGUGCUAUCAGGGUUGGUUUCGGCUGUGGCCUCUCUUCCUGGCUUGUAGACAGCUGUCUUCUUGCAGUGUCCUCACAUGGCCUCUU